CCGACGCCUGCAUGCGUUGCAUCGUUGCUGAUUAACAUUACCGCUGCCGCGCGUUGAAGAGCAGAUGCGGUUACCUGAGGGAACAUCGCACACGGUUGCGCGGGGCACCUGCGCAACGCUCCAUCGCGCCUUUCCCAGCCAGACUUGCGGACAGGCCCCGACCCCACCCCUUUCACACACAGCCACGCACAUCAGCGACGGGAGCCCAGCAGCCAACAUGCAUGGCCUACACAUGCGCUGCCGCCAACAGCGCCUCUUCACUGGCGCCUUGUUCCCAGAGACCCUCAACGAUCAGAUCGCCGCAUUUGCGCGUCGUCACAAGCUGCAGAGCGACGUGUGGGUGCCGCGCAAAGCCUUCGACACGGCACUCAAGCCGUACAAUGUAUACAUUCUGCCGAAGGCGACCCUCUGCGACCUCACCCUCACCCCGGGUGGCGGCAUGGGCGAUGUGACGGCGGCUAUCGGCAUAGACCGAUGUCUUGUGAACGCUGAGCAGACAUCGAACCGGCAUCUACUCGAGAGUUUUGCCGACUUCAUGGUGUCGUGCCUCACCCCGCCUGAGCAGCUCCCAACACGCAUUCAAAUCCAGUCCUUCCCACCCGCUGCCGCUGCGGGUACGCAGGUGGCCUGUCACACAGCCGCUGCUUUGCCAUUAUCGGGGCGCCAAACGCAAAGGAAGAACGCCAGCGAAUACUUCAGUGCCGCCAGCGGCGGCGAGUGCCCCACUCCCUUGCUGGCGGCAGCGACGGACUCCGGCCUCUUCCCUGUUCUCCCGCCCGACCCCACCUGGGACACGUUAGUACCCUUUCGGCACCCGCUCGCCCUGAACGGGUCGCUGUUGGUUGGCACCGAUACGACUGCGCAGUUGCUGAAGUGGCAACAGGAGAGUUACAAGUGGAAUAACUACUGGCGUCGUCUGCGGGGGGGAAAGUGGCGGCGGCAGAGCUUUUAUUCCGUGUGCGACACCGAAGUGCCGGGCCGGUACAACCCGUAUUUCUGCGUCCGCUACGUGCCGCACACGUACACAAACCUCAUCUUCCCGCUGGCUACCGCAGUGCUGAUGCGGCACCGUGCCGUUGCACACAAGUACGUGUCGCGACUGUGGCUGACACUGAAGCAGGCAGAGGAGCUGUUCGGCACAAGCCUGCUUCCCGAACGCGCCAACGAUGAACCGGUCGUAUACUGCAAUUACUUUACCGCUGGCAUGGAGGCCACCGCCUUCUACUGCGCAGACCAGUUCGCCGGCGGCAGCACCAUCUUCCCCACCGCGCGCGAGCUCGACAUUGCGGCGAAAGGCGUGAGGCUGCCUUCCGCGAAGCUGCGCGCAUACCCGCUGCUUGCCCGCCUGCUUGACCAGUACGAGGAGGGGAAGACGACCGAUGGUGCAAGUGGUGACAGACUUGGCACGGAUCAGACAAUGCUCGACGCCGGCCGACACGUGGAGUUUUUUCAGCACAGGCAGCGGUGUGGGGCAGUCCGGCUGCAUGGCUUCUGGAAGCCAGAGACAGAGAGGAAUUAUCUGCAAAACACCAGGAUGGCUGGAACCCUCGCGCGCCAGUGUCUGCUGUGCGACUACCCCCGGCCACUCUUCUUCUCUCACCGCGCGCUUCUCGCCUUCCAUCUCCGCCUACAGGAAGGUGAACAGGGCAUCGUCCAAACACGGCUGCCGAUUCGCGUGAACAAGCUCUUGGCGUGGUGCAAAGGCGAGUGCUGGUUCAACGUGUCGCAGCUGCGCGAGCCGACUGUGGCGCAAGAGCUGAUGGACCACCCACCCGUGCACUUUCUCACGCGCCGGAGUCUUCAAGGCGUUGUCGCCGUCAACUGCUGCCGUGCCCAAUGUGCACGGCGAUGUGACACAGCGGCUGCUGCCGUUUCGUCGAGCUCGCCAACGUCUUCCGUCCCCACGCGAUGCAACUUUAGCGCAGAGUGGAUCCCCGCUUACGUUCUGGAGAUGACGGGGUGGCGGCUGCGGGAAGGCGCCCAAGGCGUGCCAUACGUUCCGCUCGCUGCGGGGGCCGCGUUCAAACACUUUCCUCUCGGUGGCAACAUCCUCUUCUCCAUGGCGGACGUUAGCCUGCACGACGCUGCGAAGGACUGGCUGCGGCGCUACACCCCUGUCGACCAGGAGGGGUAUCCUUUCCUUCGUGGCCUGCGCCAGGCAAUGACGCUACGCGCCUUCGAGCGGGGGUACCGCGCCCACCAGUGGCUGAUCCACCGCGUGCGCAAGAAUGGGGGCUUCUCGCCCCCCUUGCUGACGUUACGGGGAGCGUUCAAGCCAGUGUGCAUGUCUGCCUCUCAGCCGCUACUCGCCACAUCCGCGUUCGUGAAGGCACCGUUCGUGCGAAUGGGCAACUUUGAGUUUGUCAACGCGGAGGAGGUGGCGUGGAUGAGCAGAGCACAUCCGUGCAAGGGCGCCGCAGCGCAAGAGAGCGGCGCCGAGGGGCCUGAUGCACCGCUCCUUCAGAUGAGCAGCGGCGCGCGCUUUCAGGUGGAGUCGGGGAUGGGAAUAUCGGCGGAAUCCCUGCUGCGGCAUUCCGUCAGGGAGACGGACGAUGCGGCAGCCUUGGGCGAUACUGCAACCUUCGACGGGCACGACGUCGGUGAGGCGGACGACUGCAGUGAAGUGGACGAGGGAUGGACAAGUGGUGAUCUCUCCACACUUCUGUACGUUCAAUAGAAGAGCGCCACAAAACGGGCGCACUCUCGGUGGCGCUACUUCGGCUGAGCGAGGAGGGGAGUUGUGGGGUUGCGUGUGCCUUCUGUCCUGAUGAAGGAAAAUGGUUUAUGUGCCCCCCCCCCCCUCGCUAUGAACGUGUAUCGGCGUGCCGGCGGUUGCAGAGGCCAUCGCCACUUGGCAUCUCUCUUUUUGUUUGCCUCAUCGAGAGUAUUGUCACCUACUCUAGUGUUUUUCAUUGAACCGCUUUCUUCACCCGCACAUGCACACCUACAGAUCCGCUCUCUCUACCCUGCGCAAGUAUGUGUGUGCGUGCGGCGUUCCCCCUUCGUACCCCCUACUCUCGUCUCUUCAGGCCUGUGAAGAGAAGAGGAGGGCCUCUCUGCUAUCCAGCUGCUGUUUCCGCUGAGACUUCCUUUUAUAUGUACAGGUAAAUGUAGAUAUACACACACAUUUUUUCUUCCGCAUCCCAGAAGUUUUGCAUUGUGCUGGGUGGAUGAUACAGCGGUGCACGGCAACUCGCGACUCCGGCGCCUGGCGCGCGCAUGCAUCAGACAGAGAGAAACUCUAGCGAGAGCUGCUAAUGCCCCUAGCCAAUAGAAGAGGCACUCCGAAGAUCGGGACCGCACUGCACCACGUGUCGUAGUGCGUGGGGUGCUUGUGUGCACGCAACUUGCAGUUCUCUCUGUACGCCCCUGACCUGCUCACAUGUUAGCUUCAGAGCGUCUUCCAAUGCGGCCGUUGCCUUGCUGCCCUCCUGUGCACCCGCGCGACCGUCUUCCGCUCUCAACCCCUGUCCGCGCGAAGGUUCGGGCCUUUUUCUUCUUCAAACUGGAUAUGUCCGGCUCCCUUGGGUGUCUCCGCACUUUUCUCCCUUCUCGAUGCGGCGAGCAAG
Molecule: unclassified non-coding RNA, 3569 nt
Filed under: Leishmania donovani
Lineage: Eukaryota; Euglenozoa; Kinetoplastea; Trypanosomatida; Trypanosomatidae
Description: gene:LdHU3.28.1110(CDS-product:hypothetical_prote in_conserved)
Source: RNAcentral